CUCUUUGUGGUGUUGCAAUGCACAAUAGCCUUUCACGCUAUAGGGGCCUGGUUAGGGGCCAAAGGGU
RNAcentral lists this transfer RNA (67 nucleotides) under Laternula truncata. RNAcentral's name for it is "tRNA-Glu". The record is from RNAcentral. Lineage: Eukaryota; Metazoa; Mollusca; Bivalvia; Laternulidae.